CAUGCAGGCGGCCAUCUAAGUCAGAUGUGAAAGCCCACGGCUCAACCGUGGAACUGCAUUUGAUACUGGUUGGCUAGAGUACGGUUGGGGUGAGUGGAACUCCUGGUGGAGCGGUGAAAUGCGUAGAUAUCAGGAGGAACACCAGUGGCGAAAGCGGCUCACUGGACCGUAACUGACGCUGAGGUGCGAAAGCUAGGGUAGCGAACAGGAUUAGAUACCCUGGUAGUC
Molecule: ribosomal RNA, 228 nt
Filed under: uncultured bacterium
Lineage: Bacteria
Description: partial 16S ribosomal RNA
Rfam family: Bacterial small subunit ribosomal RNA
Source: RNAcentral